GGAGAGUUGGCAGAGUGGUCGAAUGCGGUGGUCUCGAAAACCAUUUUCCGAUGUGAAUUGGAACAAGGGUUCGAAUCCCUUACUCUCCG
Molecule: transfer RNA, 89 nt
Filed under: Bacteroidota bacterium
Lineage: Bacteria; Pseudomonadati; Bacteroidota
Description: Bacteroidetes bacterium (marine metagenome) tRNA-Ser
Rfam family: tRNA
About the family: Transfer RNA (tRNA) molecules are approximately 80 nucleotides in length. Their secondary structure includes four short double-helical elements and three loops (D, anti-codon, and T loops).
Source: RNAcentral